GAUGAACGCUAGCGGCAGGCCUAAUACAUGCAAGCCGAACGGCAAGUUUGAUAGCAAUAUUGGACCUAGAGUGGCGCAAGGGUGCGUAACACGUAUGCAACCUGCCCGCGACAGGAGGAUAGCUACCCGAAAGGGGAAUUAACCCUCCAUAACACCAUGAGAAGGCAUCUGAUUAUGGUUAAACCGCAAGGGGUCGCGGAUGGGCAGGCGUUUGAUUAGCUAGUUGGCGGGGUAAAGGCCCACCAAGCCGGUGAGCAAUAGGGGUUCUGAGAGGAAGGUCCCCCGCCCUGGCACUGGGCUCCGGGCCAGACGCCUACGGGAGGCAGCAGUAGGGAAUAUUGGAAAAUGGUUGCAAGCCUGAUCCAGCCCGGCCGCGUGGAGGAAGAAGGCCUUCUGGGUCGUAGACUGCUUUGUCCUGUGGAUAAAAGACCCGUGCGCGGGGAAUUGAAGGUAACAGGAGAAUAAGCCACGGCUUACUUCGUG
Molecule: ribosomal RNA, 483 nt
Filed under: uncultured bacterium
Lineage: Bacteria
Description: partial 16S ribosomal RNA
Rfam family: Bacterial small subunit ribosomal RNA
Source: RNAcentral